UACGAAGGGGGCUAGCGUUGCUCGGAAUUACUGGGCGUAAAGCGCACGUAGGCGGAUUCUUAAGUCAGGGGUGAAAUCCUGGAGCUCAACUCCAGAACUGCCUUUGAUACUGGGAAUCUUGAGUCCGGGAGAGGUGAGUGGAACUCCGAGUGUAGAGGUGAAAUUCGUAGAUAUUCGGAAGAACACCAGUGGCGAAGGCGGCUCACUGGCCCGGUACUGACGCUGAGGUGCGAAAGCGUGGGGAGCAAACAG
This 252-nucleotide ribosomal RNA is filed under the name uncultured bacterium. RNAcentral describes it as "partial 16S ribosomal RNA". It matches the Rfam family "Bacterial small subunit ribosomal RNA", at positions 524 to 775 of the family's 1533-position model. The record is from RNAcentral.